RNAcentral lists this ribosomal RNA (495 nucleotides) under uncultured bacterium. RNAcentral describes it as "partial 16S ribosomal RNA". It matches the Rfam family "Bacterial small subunit ribosomal RNA", at positions 28 to 507 of the family's 1533-position model. The record is from RNAcentral.
GACGAACGCUGGCGGCGUGCCUAAUACAUGCGAGUCGAACGCUGAAGGAGGAGCUUGCUUCUCUGGAUGAGUUGCGAACGGGUGAGUAACGCGUAGGUAACCUGCCUGGUAGCGGGGGAUAACUAUUGGAAACGAUAGCUAAUACCGCAUAAUAGUAGAUGUUGCAUGAUAUUUGCUUAAAAGGUGCAAUUGCAUCACUACCAGAUGGACCUGCGUUGUAUUAGCUAGUUGGUGAGGUAACGGCUCACCAAGGCGACGAUACAUAGCCGACCUGAGAGGGUGAUCGGCCACACUGGGACUGAGACACGGCCCAGACUCCUACGGGAGGCAGCAGUAGGGAAUCUUCGGCAAGGGACGGAAGUCUGACCGAGCAACGCCGCGUGAGUGAAGAAGGUUGUCGGAUCGUAAAGCUCUGUUGUAAGAGAAGAACGAGUGUGAGAGUGGAAAGUUCACACUGUGACGGUAUCUUACCAGAAAGGGACGGCUAACUACGUG